Molecule: ribosomal RNA, 231 nt
Filed under: Zyxomma elgneri
Lineage: Eukaryota; Metazoa; Arthropoda; Insecta; Odonata; Libellulidae
Description: partial 28S ribosomal RNA
Rfam family: Eukaryotic large subunit ribosomal RNA
Source: RNAcentral
UUAUCGUUCAUUAUACAUGGGGCAAGGAGUCUAACAUGCGCGCGAGUCGUUGGGUCGGACACGCUCCGCUAAACCCAUAGGCGCAAUGAAAGUGAAGGUCGCCCUCGCGGGACCGAGGGAGGACGGAGGCGCGCUCGCGCGCCUCCCGCACUCCCGGGGCGUCUGAUUCCUCUUUUUGAGGGAAGGCGCACCCAGAGCGCACACGUUGGGACCCGAAAGAUGGUGAACUAU